AUUCAAGACACGAUGAUAUCAUUUCGGAGCCAUAACGCUCAUACACGCUGUACCGACGAGUGGUUCAACAAAUUGCGAACCGAAACAACUGAGGUGAUGACGCUGCUACACGGUGGAUAUGUAUUCAUGGCUACCAAGACCAAAACCCAGAACCCACAUCGCAGCAACAUCGAAACUUUCCACUGGCAGUCCAUCGAGGAGGCGCUGAUGGUUUGAACUGCACAUAUAGCUCUGGACCAAACAGCGUAUGGAUACAAAUCAUUAAAUUCAAUUUACGUUUUCGAUAACUGCACGAUGUUUAAAACCACUUCCUUUGACGAUUAGCAGAAGGUUCAAUGAUUCCACUGGUUUAUCAAACAAACAGAUAACCCAAGUUCAAGAGGUAAAGGCCAAACGCAAACCUGGCUGCAAAUCAAAAUGGGUUGAAGUGUCUGUUUCCUCUACCGAAAUUUGCAAAAUUUACUGAAAAUUAGAUUACAAGUUAUGAAAAGAAUUUGGUUGACUAACAAACGAUGUACAAUUUUUACAUUGCAUUCCUUUCAUGUUUCAUGGCGUACGGUUUGAAGCAUCAUGCGAGAGGCUUUCAUCUAGAAGAAGACGAUCUUUUGUUUAUGUUUUCUCAAGCUGUAACUCAUCUGAGAAAACUGGCACGAUCCAUAUUAAUGAACGAAAAUAGAAAAGUGUUUUAAGGGCUGUACGUGUGCUCUUAAAACUCUUUCAAUGGA
This is a long non-coding RNA of Anopheles merus, 725 nucleotides long. RefSeq lists it as uncharacterized. Lineage: Eukaryota; Metazoa; Arthropoda; Insecta; Diptera; Culicidae. The transcript has 4 exons. The record is from RefSeq and is a predicted model, not a curated record.